This 10390-nucleotide long non-coding RNA is filed under the name Podarcis lilfordi (Lilford's wall lizard). Lineage: Eukaryota; Metazoa; Chordata; Lepidosauria; Squamata; Lacertidae. The record is from RNAcentral.
GAGAGAGCAGUGAUGGAGAGAUUGUGUGAGUAUCUUUCCAUUCGAUGUACUUUUUUUGCUUAAGCACUACUAGCAGUUAUUUUUGUGAAUGGGGUUGAAGGGUUGGGAGAAUAAAUUGUGGAUGGCUUCUCUGUGUGUGGCAGCUAUCAACACUUGAGUGUUAUUGCAACCGUAGGGUUUGUGUGUGUCUAGAUUUGAGGUGGGAAAUACUGAGGUUUUGUGUUCCUGUUUUUCUUUAAGUUGAAAAAUACUGUGGGUUUUUGUUUUUGUUAGUUUGGCUACUGUAAGAACAGGAUGCUGGACCAGAUGGGACUUUGGCCUGACUCAGCCAAAUCUUCUGCUGUGGUGAAUGUACUGUUUAUGCAAAGACUGUCUGUUGUGGAAUCACCUUAUUAACUACAAACAAGUUCUUCAUUGUUUGAGGAAGGUGCACCCUGUUGCAUGCUCCUGGGAUUUAUUUAUGAGGCUCAUAGUUCCUAAUUAUGUCUCCUCUCCUCAAGUAUGUGAAAGGAGGUUGUGGUUUGCAAGGAGGAGUUGAUAUUAUAAGUUAAACCCCUUAGGCUUCAUCACACUAACUUCUCCAUAAGUCAAUUGGCAAGAGCCUCCUUGUCUCCAUACAUUUAAAAAAGAAAGACAAUAGAUAGAGGAUCUGGAGACUUAAAAGUCUUCCUCUGUCACUGGCGGUGUGUGGUACAUUUCUCUCAUAUUCUUUCAAUCAAAGGGGUUGCUAUUUAGCCAUGACUUAGAGCAGAAAUGAAACAAUACUCAGUUGGCACUUUAGAGGCUAGCAAAUGCAUUUUAUUCCAUAUUCCGGUGAGGAAGACGUAGAAAUGAGUAAGCUGUGGAAGGGAGUAAUAUUUUUCCAUAGCUCUGGAAAUUAAUAGGGUCCCUUAUUAAAAGUACUGUGGGGUAUCUUUAAUAUUAACCCAUUCAUGCUGCAAUCCUGUACAUUCUUAUUGGGAAGCAAUCCCCAUGGAAUUCAGCCAUGUUUACCUCUGGAUAACAAGCAGUUGUGGCAUGAGUCCACACUAGAAAUUAUGGCAGCAGGGCCUCAUUCCGAACACUUGGGUGAUAAGUAUUAACAAAGCUGCUAUGAUUAUGCGUCCCCUGUUUCUUUGCAAAGGAUGAGGACAUGGAGAGAAUCAGAGCAGGUGGAGAAGAAAACAACUUUUCUCCCAGCAAAGAAGCAAUUGUGACUUGAGGGGCCCCUUCUGAACAAAAGUAAGACAUUCUCAGCUUAUAGUUAGGUGCUAAGCAUUGCUGCUUUACAAAUAGUUAAGGGACCCACCAUGGUCUCUGAAAUAUACUCAGAGUCGCAAAGUGAUUUCAUGCUCUUUAUUCAGCUCAUAGUUGUGAGGAGGAAUGAAUGAAUGUCCCCUCAAAGUAUCUGCUUUAUAUACAUUAUUUACACAAUGGGCUGCACAUGAUUGGUUAAUUCUGGAAUUCUACUGUAAGCCAAUCAGGUUGUGGAUUCAUUUAUAUCUGGAGCAUGAUUGGGUGGUUCCUGCCAACCAAUCAUACUGCUGCAUUGUUCUUGGACCAAUCAGACUGCUGCAAUUUGGAUCCUAUUGUUCUAGGACCAAUCAGACUGCUGCAGUUUGGAUCCUAUUCAACUCAGUACAUAACACCCCUCCCCUCUAAGUUCCAGUCCUGCCCGGGAGGUCGCAUUCAUAGUCCUCGAGGUACGCCGGCGGCCUACAUGUGCGUUGCGGCCUGUGGUGUUCCCUGGUCCGGGGUUCAGGUUCUGGCUCGUGUUCCAAGGAUGCUGGCUGUGAUGGGCCUGUUUGGUCUGGCGCAACCGGCUCGCUCAGUCGUGGUUCUGGUUCCGGUGUCCUUUCGGCCUCGCGGGUCCUCUCUGUAUUUACUGAUUCUGCCUCUCCUGCUGGCCCCUCCUGCUCUAUGGGCCUCACUGCCCCUCUGUUCCCUUGGGACUCCUCUGACCUUUCCUCCUCCUGGUUUUCUCCUGGGAAUCGUCGCCGUAUCUGGUCGCAGUGGCGGCGCCAGCAUUGCCCCCCAUCCGUUAGCACCUCGUACGACACGGGGCCAGUGACCCUGGUGACUGUGGCGGGUACCCAUGCUGGGCCUGCCCCAAAAUUAUUUGCGUACACUGGGUCCUGGGCCUCGAAGGUCCAGGGGUUCCUGCCUUCCCCCACCACUACCUCAUCCUGAGCUCUAUCGGGGUGAAGGCGGUCCAAUCUGAUUGCAAGGCGCCGACCCAUUAGUAGUUCAGCGGGGCUCCGGCCAGUCGUUGAGCUGGGGGUGCUGUGCUGUGCUAGGAGGAAUGUGGCAAGGCGGUACUCCCAAUCCCCUUGCGUCAUGCGGCGAAGGGUGUCCUUGGUGGUCCGCACCAUGCGUUCUGCUUGGCCAUUGGUGGCAGGGUGGAAUGGCGCCGAACGGAUGUGGCGGAUGGCGUUCUGCGCUGUGAAGGUUUGGAAUUCUCCUGACGUAAAUGCAGUCCCGUUGUCUGAGACGAGAGUGUCAGGGAGCCCGUGGGUUGCAAACAGCCUGCGUAGUACCCAGAUGGCUGCGGAUGUAGAAGUGGACGGUACCAGUGCGACUUCCAGCCAUUUGGUGUAGGAGUCCACCACUAUGAAGAAUGUUUUCCCCUGAAAGGGGUCAGCGAAGUCCACAUGCAGGCGUGACCAUGGUGCUCGGGCGGACUCCCAGGACUGGACUGGGGCCCUUGGGGGAUCUGGGCGGGAUUCUUGGCAGGCCCAGCAGUGUUUGACCCAGGCCUCUAUCUCUCCGUCGAUCCCUGGCCACCACACAUAACUCCUGGCAAGGGCCUUCAUUCUUACUGCCCCUGGGUGUGUCUCGUGUAGGGCUGUGAGGACCCUUUUGCGGAGGGGCUGGGGAACAACGACCCUGCUUCCCCAUAACAGGCACCCCUUGUGGGCCGACAGUUCAUGUUUGCGGGUUGUGUAGCCAGCGAAUUCUGGCCCAGGGCUGCUGCUGGGCCAUCCCUCCACACCCAGUCCAGGACCCGGGAGAUGACCCUAUCUUUCUUGGAAUGGUGUGCAACUUCUUGUGCCUGAAUGGGGCGGUCGGGAAGCAGCUCCAGGCUCAUAACCUCUUGUGCAGGUGCUGGGUCGGGGCCUGUUUCCGGUAGUGGUAGCCUGCUGAGGGCGUCCGCAUGGCCCAUUGCCUUCCAGUGCAUACUGGUAGCUGGCAAGGAAAAUUGACCACCUGAGGACGCAAGGAGACAGCACUUGGGGGGUCUGCUUUUCGGGGGGCAAACAAGCCAAGCAACGGCUUGUGGUCAGUCACCACGGUGAAGGGCCGCCCGUACAAGAAAUCAUGGAAUUUUUUUACUCCCUUCACGAUUGCCAGACCCUCCUUGUCUAUUUGCGAGUAGUUCCGCUCGGUUGCGUUGAGUGUCUGGGAAAAGUAUGCCACCGGUACCUCUCUUCCAUCCGGGAGUUGGUGUCCCAGGACAGCGCCAAUGCCAUAGGGUGAGGCGUCACAUGCUAGCACCACCGGCAGCCUCUCGUCGAAGUGUGCCAAGACUGAGUUUGAGACAAGCAAGUCCUUGACUGCCUGGAAUGCAGCCUCCUGGCGCUGGCCCCACACCCAAGGGGCCCGCUUGUCCAGGAGUCUGUGUAGGGGCUCUGCUACUGCCGCCUUGUGGGGAAGGAAGGAAUGGUAAAAGUUCAAUAGUCCCAAGAAGGCCUGAAGUUCAGUCUUGCUCUUGGGCGCUGGGGCAUCACAAAUGGCCCGUACCUUGUCCCCAGUCGGGUGGACCCCUUUUGCGUCCACCAUAAAUCCCAGAAAGUCCACCUAAGGCACUCCUAGUAGACAUUUUUCCCGCUUCACCUUGAGACCCGCCAUCUGGAAACGGUGCAGAACGGUGCGGAGGCGGUCCUCAAACUCCUCUGGUGUGGGCCCCGCAAUCAACACAUCAUCGAAGAAGGGGGUGACGCCAGGAAUCCCUUUAAGGAGCGAGUCCAUUAGAUUCUGGAAUAUGCCUGGUGCCACACUGACACCGAAUUGCAGCCGCUUUACCCUGAAUGCUCCUCUGUGCGUCACAAUCGUCUGUGCCUCUGCUGUGGCCUCAUCUACUGGCAGCUGUUGAUAUGCUUGGGCCAAGUCCAGCUUGCCAAAAAUUUUCGACCCAGCCAGGGUGGCAAGGACAUGGCUGACCACUGGCACUGGGUAUGCAUGGGCCGUGAGGGCCUUGUUUAUGGUACAUUUGUAGUCUGCGCAGAUGUGGACCGAACCAUUAGGCUUGACGGGUGUGACGAUUGGGGUUUCCCAGGGGGCAUUAGGCACCGGCUCCAGCAGUCCUUGCUCCACGAGCCGGUCCAAUUCUUCGUCUAUACGGGGUUUCAGGGCGAACGGGACCCGGCGGGCCUUGAGCCUGACCGGUCGUACUGCGGGGUCAAGCUGUAGAGCAAUGGGGGGGCCGUAUACUGUCCCAAUUUCGCAUCGAAAACCCCUGGAAAUUCCUUGCAGAUGGCGUCCACGUCCACUUGUAAGGUAGUGUGGUUCACCCCAGUGAUGGCUAGCCCCAGUGGUCCAAACCAUGCCAAUCCCAGUAAGCUAAUGUAGGGGCCCUUGACCACAAGCAAGUCCAGUUGCCGCGUCCGCCCUCGGUAUUGCACCCUGAAGGUCCCCACCCCCAUUGUGGGGACCUUACGUUUCUGGAAGUCCCGGAGGGUGAAUGGGGCCGGCCUGAGUUUGGGACCCCCAGUAGGACACAGUUUCCUUAAGGUCCUUGCCGAGAUUAUGGAUAGAGUUGAACCCGUGUCAAGCUCCAUGCGGCAUGGGGCCCCCUCUAUCUGCACCUCUACAUAAAUUUUCUCUACGUUGGGGUGGGGCAACUGGUAUACCUGGAAGUCCGUGAGCUCCGUAGAGUUGCCUUGGUGCGUUGGGCCCCGGGACCUGGGGCUCUUGGAUUGGUCAUCUGAUGCCUGGCGUCGGGUGGGCCGAGCUCGACACACCCGGGCAAUGUGUCCCAAUUUUCUGCACUGCCUGCACUCUGCGUUGCGGAAACGGCAGGUCCUCCUCUCUUGACUUUCCCCGCAGCUUGCGCAGUUCCCUCCUUGUCGUCGAGGCAGCUGUGGUAUGUGGGCUGCUUGAGUGUGCUGCUGCACUCGGUGCACCUCCUCCCUGUCAGAUCCUGAGUCGUCGGUGAGGUCUUCAUGGUGGACCCUCGGUUGGGAUGGCAGGCUCAGCCGUGCCUCUUGCGUCGACCUCUUGGCAGCUUCCGUUGCCAGGGCCUCCUCCAGAGCGACCUGGAACGUUAGGUCCUUCUUGGCGUAGAGGCGUCGUUGCAGCUUCUCAUCCUUCAGGCCACCGACGAGGCGGUCACGAAGCAUGUUCUCCAGCUCUGAGAAGUUGCAGAACCGGGCAGCUUGGCGGAGAGAGGUCACAAACCCAGUUAUGGUUUCCCCAGGGGCUUGCCUCUUUGCGUAGAAGGCAUUUCGACGAGCCACCACUGAGGGCUGCGGCGAAAAGUGCCCCUUCAGCUGUUCCAUUAUUGUUUUGUAUGGAACAGUAGCGACGUCUUCAGGUGCAAGGAGAGCCCGGGCGAUUUCAAAUGUCUCCUCUCCGCAGAUGCUGAAGAAUAUCGCCCUCUUCUUGGCGUCUUCUUCAUCGGUGACCCCUUUGGCUUCUAGGAGGAAGGUGAAACGGGAGGCGUACGCUUCCCAGUCUCCAGAUGCUGGGUUGAACGGCGAGAAGCUGCUGUCGGUUGCCAUUCUGAGUUCCUUGUGUCCCGGAGCUGAAGCCUGGAUACACGGUGCGAGGCAGCGGUGCGGCAGGUGGCGGUGCUGCGGUGCUAUGUGUGGCAGUCAGCUCAGCGGGAUCCCAUCUUCAUCGCCAGUGAAAUAUGCUCAGAGUCGCAAAGUGAUUUCAUGCUCUUUAUUCAGCUCAUAGUGGUGAGGAGGAAUGAAUGAAUGUCCCCUCAAAGUAUCUGCUUUAUAUACAUUAUUUACACAAUGGGCUGCACAUGAUUGGUUAAUUCUGGAAUUCUACUGUAAGCCAAUCAGGUUGUGGAUUCACUUAUAUCUGGAGCAUGAUUGGGUGGUUCCUGCCAACCAAUCAUACUGCUGCAUUGUUCUUGGACCAAUCAGACUGCUGCAAUUUGGAUCCUAUUGUUCUAGGACCAAUCAGACUGCUGCAGUUUGGAUCCUAUUCAACUCAGUACAUAACACCGUAUCUUUGUAAGGAAGAAGGAUGGGGAGAAACCAGAAAUUGGCUAUGCCCUCAUGACCUUUCGUUGGCCAAACCCCCAUGACCUCUUAGAAGCUCCACCAAUUCUAGUGAGUGUCUGCUGCAACUGAAAUCGGGCAUGGGGAACCUGUGGCCGUCUAGCUGUUUCUGGACUUCAGCUCCAGUCAGCGCAGAGAAAGGUCAGGGAUGAUGAGAGUUGUAGUCACAACAUCUGGAAGGCCAAAGCUUUCCCAAACACAACAUUGUCCAGCAUCCUUUCCUCCCCAUCCCUCGGGUCAAGCAGGGCUCUUAGGUUCUGUUCGCCGCCUCCUCUUCCAUCAUCAUCGCCACCUAUUGUUAUCACCAUCAUCAUUAUUAAUUUCUACCCCACUUUUCUAAUUAAAACACAAAAUGCUGUGGACAAUUUAAAACACACCAUCAAUAUUAAAAUGAACACUCAGUUUAAAACAAUCAUGACAGCAACUGCUAUUAUUAAAAUUUAUUCAAUCUCCAUAGGCAUGGAAUACCGAUCUGCAGCUGCACUCAACAACUCAUUUCAAAGCACUGGGGUUUGGGGGUGGGGGGUGGGGGACACAGGAACAACUUAUAGGAUGAUGCAGACCAUUUUUUUGGAGAGGCCAAAGACAACCAAUGUAGAGCAGUCAUUCUCUGUUCCAGGUCAGAAACUCCAAGUUGGAAGGCGGCUGAGAGAGAGGGAAGUGUGGAAAGUAUCCCAGUAUAAAACCAGGCUUCAGGUUGUUUCCCAGUACACAUCUUUAGUCCUCAGCCAGGAGGACCAGCAGAAGUGCCCUUCAGGUACAUGCAGAGUCCCACCCAGAUCUCAAGGCAGACCAGUCCUUUUCCUCAGGAAUAGGAAGGUGUUAGCAUUUCUCUCAACACUGAAUAAUUUUUCUAAAACGAUGCUGGUGCUAAAGUCUGCGGGGACCUCACACCCUCGGCCCUGGAAGUCCUUUGCAAUUCCCACAUGUAUGGGAGAUGAAGAGUGGUGGCAGCGGCUGUUCUGCCUUUAUCUCUGGCAUCCUUAACGUAAUUUAUUGGAGUGAGAGAAGGGCUCUCCAGGAGCUCGCUUCAAGCUAUCUUAGCCAAUAAAACCGCUCCCCAUCUCCACUUCCAUGGUACAUUUUUAAAGGACAUUCCCCCCCAAAGAAACCUGGGAACUGUAGUUUGCCCUCACACAGCUACGGUUCCCAGCACACCUGGAGAAACUUUGGGGGAAAUAUAUAGUGUGUGUACACUUAUUGAGAAAUCUGUUUCCCUGAACCCAUGUAUUUAGGCUGAUGCAGUCAACCCAGGGCAGAAAACAAGAAGGGGAAGAUUGCGGGGCAGGGGAGCUGGAACCCAGGAAGUUUCUUAGACAGAAUCAGACCUCUGUGGUCCAUCCAGCUCGGUGUGGUUUGUUUGCACUGCCAGGCAGCCGCUCUGCAGAAUUUCAGCUCAGGCUGAAGGUGCCGAGAACCGAACCGGGACCCCCUUGCACGCCAAGAGUUUGCGUCACAGCGAAGCUACGGCUCCUCCCCUUGUAAGAGUUUUGCGGAAAGGACUUGGGUUGAGGAGGAAAAGAACGAUUAGCUGUUCAGGAAGGAAGAUGAUGUCAGGCUGCUGGGGAGAGAGGGAGGGAGGGAAAACCCUGGAAAAGGGAAAGGGGUCAUCGAUCCCUACCAAGAACUCCCAUCAUGCCCUUCUUCCUGUCUAAACCCGGGAGGUGGCUUUCCUGAAAUCCAUCUCUUUGGGCUGGGCAAUGGGGUCCCCUAAUCCCAGACGUGCGCUGCUUGGAUAGCUGCCACUCCUUACGGGCGAGGAGGAGGAGGAUGGUUUUCCUGGCUGGCUGCAUCCCCGCCGUUCCUCCACGUCAAAAUCCCCUCUCCCAUUGUACCUUCACAACAACCCUGCCAUGAGGCCGCCUGGGCUGGGCGGUCCCCACCCCAGCGAUCGCAGCACUAGGGUGGGAAGCGGAGUCUCUUUAUUGCAGCCCCACUCCCACAGCACGCCAGCUCUCUCCCCACAUGUGCUGGGGCUUGUUUUCAUUAUUUUUUAUGACUUCGCGCGAUCCCAGAGGCUGGGACCUGCCAUUCAAACGAGACCCGAGGCUGCGCUUUAUAUUUCCCCAAAGCAAGGUCGGAAAUAGAGGUAGUAAGCAAACGGCUGGAGGAAACGCUGGAGAAGCGGGCAGGACACACACACACACACACAGGCUUGGCGGCGGCAGCGGUGGCUCUUGAGAUUUCCUCCUCGGCGUGGAGGAGGGUCCCAGGCAUGUGCGCGCGCCCCCCCAAACUCCACGACCCCCUCCUGCCCCGCCAGGGAUCCGAGCCACGCGCUCUUGCACCCAGGCGCACCCUGGGGGAGGUGCCCGGCCGGAGACAAAAGCAUUUGUCGGGCCCCAGCCGGAACAAAAAAGAGCGAGCCCUGGGGAGGGGGGAAGCUGACCCCCUCCCUCCACCCCUCUCCCUCUCUCCUUCUGGGAUUUGGGGAGAAGGCAGCUCCCAGCGCGCUCCUCCUUAAUCCGCCUUCCGAAGCACAAAGCCCUCUCGGCUUUUUCACCCCCGAGAUGCAGCAGCCUGGAGAGGCCACUCACCUCUGGGUUGCAGCCCAGGCUGGGAGCGCGCAGGCUUCAAAGAUGGACUAGCGCAGCGCGCUCUCUCGCUCUCCCCCCGUCCUCCACCUUCCCCACCCCCCUUCCAGCCCCACAGCGGAGAAUCGCGGGGUUUCCCAGCCCACAAAGCCGCCUUUCCUCCCCACUCCAACGAAAGAGAGAGAAAUGGGGAUCCCCUCUUUGGCUCAGGAUACAGACCUCGAUCGUGGCAAUAUUUAAUGCCUUCCAGCCCCAGGGAGGGUUCCCUGCCUUCCUCGCCUCUUUGAUUCCCAGCGCGCCUUUCCCGGGUUGAGAAAUCGGAUCUCCCGAUUUAAUUUCUGCCCCCACCUCACCUCACCCUCUCCUGCCCCCCCCCAAGACCCACUGAACAUGAGGUGGUCUGCAGAGGCCGCAGGGGUGAGGGGGCCAAACGCCCUUGCAACCCCGGAAGCGAGUGCUCUCCCGCCCCCGACCGCUGCUUCCAUGUAAAAAGAAGCAUAAAGUUUCGGGCGACGGAGUUCCUCGGGACCCCAGCUCAGAUCCCGGGCGCCUUCUCCUGGCGAGCAAAUCCCCUCGACCUCCAGCGCGCUGAGCGAGUUUCCUCCAAGGCAAGGCCCGUGGAAAUCGAGGGGAUCGACCCCCGAGUAAAUGCCCCUUCGCGCUUUGCAAAGGGAAGGGAGUCCAGUUGUGUGCGUAUCCCGAAUUUCCCUUUUGUGCGCUAUCCUGACCUGUCUCAUAACCUUGUAAUCCACUGGAAUAUUUUCGGGACGACCUCUUUCUUUUUGGAUUACCCUACCGCCAACAUGGGUUUGUUUUUUUAGCCCUAGAUACAGCACAUUUAGAAUUUUUUUUUUUAAAAAGAAUAUUUUAUAUUAUUACUGCAGCACUAAGAGCCACAAUGUGGCUGCAACAUAGGCAAGGCUCCUUGAUCAGGUCAAGAGAUGGUCAGAAAGUCCUGGUUUGUUUUCUGCAAAUUUGCAGGGAAAUGGACGGUUCUAUUUUUUCCAUAGAUCGCGCGCGGGGAAGUUACUGAAAACCCUUCCGUUUGUUUCACGCCGAUUCACAACCAAGUGGCCUGUUUUUCACUCGCAUUUUUAAAGUGUGCAGAUCUUCAUCGAAAACCCGUCGGUUGUGUCUGGUUUUCCCAGACGAAUACCCGCUGUCUGGUUGUCUCUGGUAGAUAGAUAGAUAGAUAGAUAGAUAGAUAGAUAGAUAUGUACACACGUACAACUUGUCUUGCAUUUCCCUUUAAAUGAAUGGAAAUUUCUUCCAACAGGCGCCGAGGAGGCCUGCCUUCAACAAGGAAAACCAGGCCAGGUGCCGCGCCUGAGAGGGCUUCCCUCAUUCCCGAGCAGCCACGUCGUAGGAAAUGAACUAAAGGAAACGGACUGUGAAUUUGGGAUUUCCAUUGGCCUCCCGGACUUUUCUGUUUCCCCGGGUCGUAAAGGCGCCCAUGCAGCCUUACUGACUUCAGUGCCUCUUAGCUGAGAUUUUCAUCCCAGAGGGCAUCGCAUUUUUCUCCUAUUAAGCAUUCCAGUUGUAAAUAUAAUAAGCCGCCCGGGAUCUGGACUUAUCACAGACGUAGUCUGUGAAUUAAAAAUUACCGUCACCGUUACUGUUACUACUAGUAUCACUACUACCACC